RNAcentral lists this ribosomal RNA (253 nucleotides) under uncultured bacterium. Its description in RNAcentral is "partial 16S ribosomal RNA". It matches the Rfam family "Bacterial small subunit ribosomal RNA", at positions 524 to 776 of the family's 1533-position model. The record is from RNAcentral.
UACGUAGGUGACAAGCGUUGUCCGGAUUUACUGGGCGUAAAGGGCGCGUAGGCGGUUCGUACAGUCAGACGUGAAAUUCCUGGGCUCAACCUGGGGGCUGCGUUUGAUACGUGCGGACUUGAGUGCGGAAGAGGGUCGUGGAAUUCCCAGUGUAGAGGUGAAAUUCGUAGAUAUUGGGAAGAACACCGGUGGCGAAGGCGGCGACCUGGUCCGAUACUGACGCUGAGGCGCGAAAGCGUGGGGAGCAAACAGG